UGGGGAAUUUUGGACAAUGGGCGAAAGCCUGAUCCAGCAAUGCCGCGUGUGUGAAGAAGGCCUUCGGGUUGUAAAGCACUUUUGUCCGGAAAGAAAUCCUUGGCUCUAAUACAGUCGGGGGAUGACGGUACCGGAAGAAUAAGCACCGGCUAACUACGUGCCAGCAGCCGCGGUAAUACGUAGGGUGCAAGCGUUAAUCGGAAUUACUGGGCGUAAAGCGUGCGCAGGCGGUUUGCUAAGACCGAUGUGAAAUCCCCGGGCUCAACCUGGGAACUGCAUUGGUGACUGGCAGGCUAGAGUAUGGCAGAGGGGGGUAGAAUUCCACGUGUAGCAGUGAAAUGCGUAGAGAUGUGGAGGAAUACCGAUGGCGAAGGCAGCCCCCUGGCAAGUACUGACGCUCAUGCACGAAAGCGUGGGGAGCAAAACAGGAUUAGAUACCCUGGUAGUCCGCGCCCUAAAACGAUGUCAACUAGUUGUUGGGGGAUUCAUUUCCUUAGUAACGUAGCUAACGCGUGAAGUUGACCGCCUGGGGGAGUACGGUCGCAAGAUU
Molecule: ribosomal RNA, 550 nt
Filed under: uncultured bacterium
Lineage: Bacteria
Description: partial 16S ribosomal RNA
Rfam family: Bacterial small subunit ribosomal RNA
Source: RNAcentral